UACGAAGGGGGCUAGCGUUGCUCGGAAUCACUGGGCGUAAAGCGCACGUAGGCGGCUUUUUAAGUCAGGGGUGAAAUCCUGGAGCUCAACUCCAGAACUGCCUUUGAUACUGAGAAGCUUGAGUCCGGGAGAGGUGAGUGGAACUGCGAGUGUAGAGGUGAAAUUCGUAGAUAUUCGCAAGAACACCAGUGGCGAAGGCGGCUCACUGGUCCGGUACUGACGCUGAGGUGCGAAAGCGUGGGGAGCAAACAGG
Molecule: ribosomal RNA, 253 nt
Filed under: uncultured bacterium
Lineage: Bacteria
Description: partial 16S ribosomal RNA
Rfam family: Bacterial small subunit ribosomal RNA
Source: RNAcentral